Molecule: long non-coding RNA, 604 nt
Filed under: Oryza sativa Indica Group (long-grained rice)
Lineage: Eukaryota; Viridiplantae; Streptophyta; Magnoliopsida; Poales; Poaceae
Description: lncRNA OsZS97_02G022510
Source: RNAcentral
UGCAACGGCUACUACGCACCGACCUCCGCGCGCGUCUGCCGCCGCGACUGCUUCGGCUUUUUGUUCCUCACUACCGCCGCCGCCGAGGCAAGCGCCACCGACGAUAUCGCUUUCCACUUUCCAACCCUAUCGGAGAUUCUAGAGAUCCAUGCGCCUACUUGCGCAGGAAGUCACUACAACAAUGUUCGAUCAGAAAAGGACACCCCUUGCCUUCUUGAUCCUCUCUGCCCUGUGAUUCCGAUGUCAGUGACUUUGGAGGUUGGAGCACCAAUGGAAGGAAUGCAAAUUACUCCCAGAACUGAAUUAAUGCGUGGAAUUUGUACUUCAUCAACCCAACCGUCCUUGUACUCGACGAUGUACGGGUUGCUGAGGCUCGCCAUCAGGGACAUCUGUGCAGCAAACAGCAAGCAAAGCAUCAAAAUCAAAUCAUCAAACCAAACCAUCUGUCCCGUCCUCCCAAACAUUCAAUCAGGAGAUGGGCCCUGCAAGAGGUGGGGUGUGAGGUAGCGCUCUGCGAAAGAGGAGAAAAUAAAAAAAAACGAUAUGGUUUUGGUUUGGCCAUUGCUUUCGCCAAUGUAGAAAGAGACCAGCGAACUGCCUGUAG